GUGUCAGCAGCCGCGGUAAUACGGAGGAUCCAAGCGUUAUCCGGAAUCAUUGGGUUUAAAGGGUCCGUAGGCGGUUUAGUAAGUCAGUGGUGAAAGCCCAUCGCUCAACGGUGGAACGGCCAUUGAUACUGCUAGACUUGAAUUAUUAGGAAGUAACUAGAAUAUGUAGUGUAGCGGUGAAAUGCUUAGAGAUUACAUGGAAUACCAAUUGCGAAGGCAGGUUACUACUAAUGGAUUGACGCUGAUGGACGAAAGCGUGGGUAGCGAACAGGAUUAGAAACCCCCGUAGUCC
RNAcentral lists this ribosomal RNA (292 nucleotides) under uncultured bacterium. RNAcentral's name for it is "partial 16S ribosomal RNA". It matches the Rfam family "Bacterial small subunit ribosomal RNA", at positions 505 to 796 of the family's 1533-position model. The record is from RNAcentral.